UUGUCCUUAGUUGCCAGCACGUAAUGGUGGGAACUCUAAGGAGACUGCCGGUGACAAACCGGAGGAAGGUGGGGAUGACGUCAAGUCAUCAUGGCCCUUACGACCAGGGCUACACACGUACUACAAUGGGAGGUACAGAGGGUUGCGAAGCGCGAGGUGAAGCCAAUCCCAGAAAACCUCUCUCAGUCCGGAUCGCAGUCUGCAACUCGACUGCGUGAAGUCGGAAUCGCUAGUAAUCGCGGAAUCAGCAUUGUCGCGGUGAAUACGUUCCCGGGCCUU
RNAcentral lists this ribosomal RNA (279 nucleotides) under uncultured bacterium. Its description in RNAcentral is "partial 16S ribosomal RNA". It matches the Rfam family "Bacterial small subunit ribosomal RNA", at positions 1105 to 1382 of the family's 1533-position model. The record is from RNAcentral.